UACGAAGGGGGCUAGCGUUGCUCGGAGUUACUGGGCGUAAAGCGCACGUAGGCGGAUUGUUAAGUCGGGGGUGAAACCCUGGAGCUCAACUCCAGAACUGCCUUCGAUACUGGCGAUCUCGAGUUCGGGAGAGGUGAGUGGAACUGCGAGUGUAGAGGUGAAAUUCGUAGAUAUUCGCAAGAACACCAGUGGCGAAGGCGGCUCACUGGCCCGAUACUGACGCUGAGGUGCGAAAGCGUGGGGAGCAAACAGG
Molecule: ribosomal RNA, 253 nt
Filed under: uncultured bacterium
Lineage: Bacteria
Description: partial 16S ribosomal RNA
Rfam family: Bacterial small subunit ribosomal RNA
Source: RNAcentral